This 18-nucleotide small nuclear RNA is filed under the name Arabidopsis thaliana (thale cress). RNAcentral describes it as "snRNA_15662". The record is from RNAcentral. Lineage: Eukaryota; Viridiplantae; Streptophyta; Magnoliopsida; Brassicales; Brassicaceae.
CGAAUAUUAGUGCCGAAA